AACGAACGCUGGCGGCAUGCCUAAUACAUGCAAGUCGAACGAGACCUUCGGGUACAGUGGCGAACGGGUGCGUAACGCGUGGGAACCUGCCCUUAGGUUCGGAAUAACUUCCCGAAAGGGGCGCUAAUACCGGACAAUUUCUACGGACCAAUGAUUUAUCGCCUUUGGAUGUGCCCGCGUUAAAGUAGCUAGUUGGUAGGGUAAAAGCCCACCAAGGUGACGAUCCAUAGCUGGUCCGAGAGGGUGAUAGGCCAAACUGGGACUGAGACACGGCCAAGACGCCGACGGGAGGAAGCAGGAGGGAAGCUUCGGAAAUGGACGAAAGUCCGAACGAGCAACGACGCGUGAGGGAAGAAGGUUGUCGGAUCGGAAAACUAGGGUGGUAGAGAAGAACGUUGGUGAGAGUGGAAAGCUCAUAAAGGGACGGUAACUACCCAGAAAGGGACGGCUAACUACGUG
Molecule: ribosomal RNA, 459 nt
Filed under: uncultured bacterium
Lineage: Bacteria
Description: partial 16S ribosomal RNA
Rfam family: Bacterial small subunit ribosomal RNA
Source: RNAcentral